GCGUGCCUAAUACAUGCAAGUCGAGCGAACGGAUGAGAAGCUUGCUUCUCUGAUGUUAGCGGCGGACGGGUGAGUAACACGUGGAUAACCUACCUAUAAGACUGGGAUAACUUCGGGAAACCGGAGCUAAUACCGGAUAAUAUAUUGAACCGCAUGGUUCAAUAGUGAAAGACGGUUUUGCUGUCACUUAUAGAUGGAUCCGCGCCGCAUUAGCUAGUUGGUAAGGUAACGGCUUACCAAGGCAACGAUGCGUAGCCGACCUGAGAGGGUGAUCGGCCACACUGGAACUGAGACACGGUCCAGACUCCUACGGGAGGCAGCAGUAGGGAAUCUUCCGCAAUGGGCGAAAGCCUGACGGAGCAACGCCGCGUGAGUGAUGAAGGUCUUCGGAUCGUAAAACUCUGUUAUUAGGGAAGAACAAAUGUGUAAGUAACUAUGCACGUCUUGACGGUACCUAAUCAGAAAGCCACGGCUAACUACGUGCCAGCAGCCGCGGUAAUACGUAGGUGGCAAGCGUUAUCCGGAAUUAUUGGGCGUAAAGCGCGCGUAGGCGGUUUUUUAAGUCUGAUGUGAAAGCCCACGGCUCAACCGUGGAGGGUCGUUGGAAACUGGAAAACUUGAGUGCAGAAGAGGAAAGUGGAAUUCCAUGUGUAGCGGUGAAAUGCGCAGAGAUAUGGAGGAACACCAGUGGCGAAGGCGACUUUCUGGUCUGUAA
Molecule: ribosomal RNA, 715 nt
Filed under: uncultured Staphylococcus sp.
Lineage: Bacteria; Bacillati; Bacillota; Bacilli; Caryophanales; Staphylococcaceae
Description: bacterial SSU rRNA
Rfam family: Bacterial small subunit ribosomal RNA
Source: RNAcentral